This is a long non-coding RNA of Bos taurus (domestic cattle), 1200 nucleotides long. The record is from Ensembl. NCBI's taxonomy places the organism in Eukaryota, Metazoa, Chordata, Mammalia, Artiodactyla, Bovidae.
GUCCUCCUGGAGGCUGGAAACAGGGUUUGCAGGCCACCAAAAGCUCCCCAAGGGGGCUUCUUAAAGGACAAUCAUUUCGGAGUUCUCUGGUCCUGGGGCUCCGGUCUCAGACUCAAAAGAGCCAAAUUUCUCUCUAAAGUCAGCUUCUUAGAGGCUUGCUUAUGUUAGGCUAAGUUGUUCACCGGCAGAUGAAGAUACAUUGAAAAACCACCAGGAAAAAGUAAAUUCAAACCUGAAGAAGAAUCUGUUAACGAGGGUUGAGAGGAGAAGAGCAGGAUACUAGAGCUUCCGAAAGAAGGCUAUGGAAUGUCCGUCAGGAAGGGAGGAUUCUCCCUCCGGCCCCCAGGCGCCCUCUCCUGACCAGUUCGGCAGAGGCCGGGGCUGGGGGCCAGCCGGGUUCCAGGAGCACCCCGUCGCUGACCCUGUCUCAGGAAAGGAAGCCGCUCUCCCCUGCGUCGCGGCCUCCCCAGGCCCCACCCAGGCCGGCGUUCCUGCUCCUCUCGGGAUGCGAGGUUGAGGACCCAGGCAGGAAAAGGAUCCAGGGCCAAGAGUUGGUUUUGCCCAAGGAAAUGGCCUCUCCAGCCUACCGAGCUGGCUCUUGAGGACUUCUGCCCCAGAGUUCCAGACACCUCUGCUUUUCCUGUCUUAGCGCCAAACAAAUGCACCGGGGUCACGAAGUCCUGAUCCUGGGCUUGCUCACAGCCCCUUCCGCCAUCCUACCCUACAGCGAGGGGAAAGCAAAGCGCGGAGGCACCCGGGUCUCUCCCAGCCGGGAGAGGGAGACUCGGCUCCCUCAAGAACCGGGGCUCCAGCUCCCUCUCACACUCCCCACUGAAUCCCACCAGGAGCAAAAUCCUUUAAAGGGAACAAAGACAAUGCGGGCGGAGCGGGGGGCUUCCCUUCCGCGGACCCGGGGCGGCAGGUUGACGCAGCCCGGGGCUGGUCAGCGCCGGCUUUCAGCAAGCAAUCGGUGUGCAGGAACACCCCUGUGCCGUGAUGCCGGCUGGGCACCAGGAAUAUCAAGGGAGAAGAUUCAGAUGAGACAGUCGUGUUAAAAAAAUAGAACUCCAACUGUGUGAGAAGUGCUAUAACAAGGUAGAAACAAGGUUUGAACCCAGAGGCCAACCCCACAGGCUGCCCACAUUUUACUUCUAGUCACAGUCUGUUGCAACCUACCCUGCAUGCUAAAGACAACCCUGA